This 164-nucleotide ribosomal RNA is filed under the name Cardamine schulzii. Its description in RNAcentral is "5.8S ribosomal RNA". It matches the Rfam family "5.8S ribosomal RNA". From Rfam's summary of the family: 5.8S ribosomal RNA (5.8S rRNA) is a component of the large subunit of the eukaryotic ribosome. The record is from RNAcentral. Lineage: Eukaryota; Viridiplantae; Streptophyta; Magnoliopsida; Brassicales; Brassicaceae.
AAAACGACUCUCGGCAACGGAUAUCUCGGCUCUCGCAUCGAUGAAGAACGUAGCGAAAUGCGAUACUUGGUGUGAAUUGCAGAACCCCGUGAACCAUCGAGUCUUUGAACGCAAGUUGCGCCCCAAGCCUUCUGGCCGAGGGCACGUCUGCCUGGGUGUCACAA